AUUGAACGCUGGCGGAAUGCUUUACACAUGCAAGUCGAACGGCAGCAUAAGUGCGUGCACCUGAUGGCGAGUGGCGAACGGGUGAGUAAUACAUCGGAACGUGCCCAGUCGUGGGGGAUAACGUAGCGAAAGUUACGCUAAUACCGCAUACGAUCUAAGGAUGAAAGCGGGGGACCGUAAGGCCUCGCGCGAUUGGAGCGGCCGAUGUCAGAUGAGGUAGUUGGUGAGGUAAAGGCUCACCAAGCCGACGAUCUGUAGCUGGUCUGAGAGGACGACCAGCCACCCUGGGACUGAGACACGGCCCAGACUCCUACGGGAGGCAGCAGUGGGGAAUUUUGGACAAUGGACGCAAGUCUGAUCCAGCCAUUCCGCGUGCAGGACGAAGGCCUUCGGGUUGUAAACUGCUUUUGUACGGAACGAAAAAGCUCUUACUAAUACUAGGAGUCCAUGACGGUACCGUAAGAAUAAGCACCGGCUAACUACGUGCCAGCCGCCGCGGUAA
Molecule: ribosomal RNA, 502 nt
Filed under: uncultured bacterium
Lineage: Bacteria
Description: partial 16S ribosomal RNA
Rfam family: Bacterial small subunit ribosomal RNA
Source: RNAcentral